RNAcentral lists this ribosomal RNA (252 nucleotides) under uncultured bacterium. RNAcentral describes it as "partial 16S ribosomal RNA". It matches the Rfam family "Bacterial small subunit ribosomal RNA", at positions 524 to 776 of the family's 1533-position model. The record is from RNAcentral.
UACAGAGGGUGCGAGCGUUGUUCGGAAUUACUGGGCGUAAAGAGUGUGUAGGCGGUGUUCUAAGUCUGUUGUGAAAUCUCCCGGCUUAACUGGGAGGGUGCGGCGGAAACUGGAAUGCUAGAGGAUGGGAGAGGUAAGCGGAAUUCCUGGUGUAGCGGUGAAAUGCGUAGAUAUCAGGAGGAACACCUGUGGUGUAGACAGCUUACUGGACCAUUUCUGACGCUGAGACACGAAAGCGUGGUAGCAAACAGG